AAAUGGAAAGCAAAAAAUAUUGCCUUUAGUUUCGACCUAAAUCCUUGGUGCUGGCCCACCUCCAUUUU
RNAcentral lists this transfer RNA (68 nucleotides) under Euwallacea interjectus. Its description in RNAcentral is "tRNA-Arg". Lineage: Eukaryota; Metazoa; Arthropoda; Insecta; Coleoptera; Curculionidae. The record is from RNAcentral.